AGCGAACGCUGGCGGCAGGCUUAACACAUGCAAGUCGAGCGGGCACUUCGGUGUCAGCGGCAGACGGGUGAGUAACACGUGGGAACGUACCCUUUGGUUCGGAAUAACGCUGGGAAACUAGAGUUAAUACCGGAUACGCUCUUUCGGGGAAAGGCUUGCUGCCGAAGGAUCGGCCCGCGUCUGAUUAGCCAGUUGGUGGGGUAAUGGCCUACCAAGGCGACGAUCAGUAGCUGGUCUGAGAGGAUGAUCAGCCACGCUGGGACUGAGACACGGCCCACACUCCUACGGAGGGCAGCAGUAGAGAAUAUUAUAGGAUGGGCGCAAGCCUGAUCCAGCCAUGCCGCGUAAGAGAUGAAGGCCUUAGGAUUGUAAAGCUCUUUUUUCCGAGACGAUAAUGACGGUACCGGAUAAAUAAGCCCCGGCUAACUUCGUG
RNAcentral lists this ribosomal RNA (433 nucleotides) under uncultured bacterium. Its description in RNAcentral is "partial 16S ribosomal RNA". It matches the Rfam family "Bacterial small subunit ribosomal RNA", at positions 29 to 507 of the family's 1533-position model. The record is from RNAcentral.